Molecule: long non-coding RNA, 854 nt
Filed under: Zalophus californianus (California sea lion)
Lineage: Eukaryota; Metazoa; Chordata; Mammalia; Carnivora; Otariidae
Description: lncRNA (ENSZCAG00015022496.1)
Source: RNAcentral
AGAUUGGGGGGCUGGGGGCUGGAGGGAUUAGAGGGUGGCAGAUAGAGAAUCGGGUUCGCUCCUGACUUGAGACCUCUCUCUCUCUGAUCCCCCUCUGGUCUGGCAGGGCCUGGGCCUCCCAGCAGGGACAGAGCUCAGUGGCUCCCUGAAGACCGAAGGUGGGGAAGCAGAGGUGUCCGGGGCCCUCGCAUGGGCUGGCCAGACCGCCUCCCUGACCUUGGCGGCGGCCGUGCACCAGUCCGAGGCCACACUCCGAGUGAAGCUAAGUCACGCGCUGCCGGCACUGCAGACCGUCCCCCCAGAGGCCUUGCUGACCGUCCAGCUUGGGUGGGAGGCCGGGCACCGGCUGGGUCUGGAGCUACAGGUGGGGGCCUGUGAGCUGCAGGGCAGUGGUGAGCUGCACCUGGACCGUGGGCUACAGUGGCAGGUGCUCGCCCAGAGCUCCUGUGAGGCCCUGCAGGCCCUGGGGGUCCCGGGCCGAGUCAACAGCUCCGGGACCGUCGCCGUGAACUCUGUGGCUGUGGACGCCUGGGUCCUGGUCACCAUCAACAACAGCACACUGCAGGGGCUACUCAUCCUCAAGACUACGGAGAGCCAGCAGGAGGUGGAUAUGUUGCUCACACACGGCCCGCCCCAGCCCAGCCCCUCGGGCCUCCCCGCCCGGGUGCUGCUGGAGCUGCCCACCGAGAGCCACGGACCUGGCUACAGACACGCCCUGCGGGUUGGACUGGACGGCAGACAGGUGUCCGAGGAGCUGACGUUCACUCGGCGGCCAGAGCGCAUCUCCCUGGACUACACCCUCGAGCACAACAUCCCCGUGCUGCGGACACUGUGGGUGGAGGACAAGCUGGGCC